ACGCUGGCGGCAGGCCUAACACAUGCAAGUCGAGCGGCAGCGGGAAGUAGCUUGCUACUUUGCCGGCGAGCGGCGGACGGGUGAGUAAUGUCUGGGAAACUGCCUGAUGGAGGGGGAUAACUACUGGAAACGGUAGCUAAUACCGCAUGACGUCGCAAGACCAAAGUGGGGGACCUUCGGGCCUCACGCCAUCGGAUGUGCCCAGAUGGGAUUAGCUAGUAGGUGAGGUAAUGGCUCACCUAGGCGACGAUCCCUAGCUGGUCUGAGAGGAUGACCAGCCUCACUGGAACUGAGACACGGUCCAGACUCCUACGGGAGGCAGCAGUGGGGAAUAUUGCACAAUGGGCGCAAGCCUGAUGCAGCCAUGCCGCGUGUGUGAAGAAGGCCUUAGGGUUGUAAAGCACUUUCAGCGAGGAGGAAGGCGUUGUAGUUAAUAGCUGCAACGAUUGACGUUACUCGCAGAAGAAGCACCGGCUAACUCCGUGCCAGCAGCCGCGGUAAUACGGAGGGUGCAAGCGUUAAUCGGAAUUACUGGGCGUAAAGCGCACGCAGGCGGUUUGUUAAGUCAGAUGUGAAAUCCCCGAGCUUAACUUGGGAACUGCAUUUGAAACUGGCAAGCUAGAGUCUUGUAGAGGGGGGUAGAAUUCCAGGUGUAGCGGUGAAAUGCGUAGAGAUCUGGAGGAAUACCGGUGGCGAAGGCGGCCCCCUGGACAAAGACUGACGCUCAGGUGCGAAAGCGUGGGGAGCAAAC
Molecule: ribosomal RNA, 751 nt
Filed under: uncultured bacterium
Lineage: Bacteria
Description: bacterial SSU rRNA
Rfam family: Bacterial small subunit ribosomal RNA
Source: RNAcentral